GAUCCCUCGGCUGGGUCUACCUCAAAACCGAACCGAGUGCAGACAGACCCCCGGGUGGACGAACAAAGACACGCCCUCCAAGACCCGGUGCACUGGAUGCUGCUGCAGCAUGCAUACAGCAAUUGGAAGAAACAGUCAAGGAGCUGACGAGAGCUGUCGCAGCUGAAAGUGGUUCAAAUGCCUUUUCACCGAUUUUCUGUCUCAGACAAGAACAUCCUUUUUAGGCCUUUAAGGCCCUGUCUCCCAUGUUGUUAUACAUGGGCCAACUACCGUUACCUGCUCCUUGGCUCCCUCCCCAUCUGGAUGAGUAAACAGAAAGUCAAGAACACCAUGCCAAGCAAAUUUGUGCAGUACAGUCCAGAUGUUUCGGGUAAUCGUCGAGUGCACCGAGGUGCGAUGCCAGAAUCCAUCAUCCCUCACCCAGAGUUUUUCUCAUCUUACAAGAACACAAAACCUUUAAGGCCUUGAUUGGGAUUGCCCCUUGUAGUGCUGUGACUUUUGUGUCUUUUUGUGUCUCCUCACCGGCUCCAUCUCCGACCGAGAGCUGACUGAACGAAGUGGACUGCUGGAUUUACUGGAGCCAGGAGAUGGCUGCAUGGCAGACAAGGGUUUCACCAUCGAGAAGCCACUAGCUAGCUGAUCGUGGAGCAACGCUGAUUAUACCACCCUUCAAGAUGACAGGAAUACCGCAUCUGGGAACGCACUGUCCUCUCACCUUGUCUGGGACAGUCAACCAGCUGUGGACCGUCUGCUCUGUGAUGACCAACUUCCAGGGACCACUUCAUUUAAAAGACUACAUCCCUGUUGAAUAGUGUUUCUACUCAAACAUGUACCUAUAAAUAUUAAAUAUAAUAUAUAAAUAUUAAAACGAGAGACA
This is a long non-coding RNA of Gadus chalcogrammus (walleye pollock), 877 nucleotides long. RefSeq lists it as uncharacterized. Lineage: Eukaryota; Metazoa; Chordata; Actinopteri; Gadiformes; Gadidae. The record is from RefSeq and is a predicted model, not a curated record. The transcript has 3 exons.